GACGAACGCUGGCGGCGUGCUUAACACAUGCAAGUCGAACGAUGAAGCCCAGCUUGCUGGGUGGAUUAGGGGCGAACGGGUGAGUAACACGUGAGUAACCUGCACUUAACCCUGGGAUAAGCCUGGAAAACUGGGGCUAAUACCGGAUAGGAGCGUUCACGGCACGGUGGGUGUUGGAGAGAUUUAUCGUUUUUGGUUGGGCGCGGGGCCUAUCAGCUUGUGGGGGAGGUAUUGGCUGACCACGGCGACGACGGGUAUGCGGCCUGAGAGGGGGGCCGGCACCGCUGGGACGGGGACACGGCCCAGACGCGACCGGGAGGGAACAGAGGGGAAUAUUGUACAGUGGGCGAAAGCAGGAUGCAGCGCCGCCGCGUGGGGGGUGACGGCCUUCGGGUAGUAAACCACUUUCCGUUGGGAAGAAGCGAAAGUGACGGUACCUGCAGAAGAAGCACCGGCUAACUACGUG
Molecule: ribosomal RNA, 466 nt
Filed under: uncultured bacterium
Lineage: Bacteria
Description: partial 16S ribosomal RNA
Rfam family: Bacterial small subunit ribosomal RNA
Source: RNAcentral